AUGAACGCUGGCGGCGUGCCUAAUACAUGCAAGUCGAGCGAACGGACGAGAAGCUUGCUUCUCUGAUGUUAGCGGCGGACGGGUGAGUAACACGUGGAUAACCUACCUAUAAGACUGGGAUAACUUCGGGAAACCGGAGCUAAUACCGGAUAAUAUUUUGAACCGCAUGGUUCCAAAGUGAAAGACGGUCUUGCUGUCACUUAUAGAUGGAUCCGCGCUGCAUUAGCUAGUUGGUAAGGUAACGGCUUACCAAGGCAACGAUGCAUAGCCGACCUGAGAGGGUGAUCGGCCACACUGGAACUGAGACACGGUCCAGGCUCCUACGGGAGGCAGCAGUAGGGAAUCUUCCGCAAUGGGCGAAAGCCUGACGGAGCAACGCCGCGUGAGUGAUGAAGGUCUUCGGAUCGUAAAACUCUGUUAUUAGGGAAGAACAUAUGUGUAAGUAACUGUGCACAUCUUGACGGUACCUAAUCAGAAAGCCACGGCUAACUACGUG
RNAcentral lists this ribosomal RNA (496 nucleotides) under uncultured bacterium. RNAcentral describes it as "partial 16S ribosomal RNA". It matches the Rfam family "Bacterial small subunit ribosomal RNA", at positions 29 to 507 of the family's 1533-position model. The record is from RNAcentral.